This 468-nucleotide ribosomal RNA is filed under the name uncultured bacterium. RNAcentral's name for it is "SSU rRNA". It matches the Rfam family "Bacterial small subunit ribosomal RNA", at positions 26 to 518 of the family's 1533-position model. The record is from RNAcentral.
AGGAUAAACGCUGGCGGCGUGCCUAACACAUGCAAGUCGAACGCGCUUUUUUCGCAAGAGGAGAGCGAGUGGCGGACGGGUGAGUAACACAUGGGUACCUACCUUGGAGUGAGGGAUACCGGCGAGAAAUCGCCGACAAUACCGCAUACGCUUCUCUUCACCGGGAAGCAAAGUUGCGCAAGCGACGCUCUGAGAUGGGCCUGUGGCCGAUUAGCUAGUUGGUGGGGUAAGAGCCUACCAAGGCGACGAUCGGUAGCUGGUCUGAGAGGACGAUCAGCCACACUGGGAUUGAGAACGGCCCAGACUCCUACGGGGGGCAGCAGUGAGGAAUUUUCCGCAAUGGACGCAAGUCUGACGGAGCAACGCCGCGUGCAGGAUGAAGGUUUUCGGAUCGUAAACUGCUUUCUCGGGGACGAGCAAGGACGGUACCCGAGGAAGAAGCCCGGCUAACUACGUGCCAGCAGCCGC